RNAcentral lists this small RNA (580 nucleotides) under Histoplasma capsulatum var. duboisii H88. RNAcentral's name for it is "Histoplasma capsulatum H88 hypothetical RNA". Lineage: Eukaryota; Fungi; Ascomycota; Eurotiomycetes; Onygenales; Ajellomycetaceae. The record is from RNAcentral.
CCCCAUAUUCUUCAGCAUUGCAAAAAAAAGCUUUGAAAAUCCUUCGCCUGUGAUUGCCGAAAUCCGGAACAAUUGUUCAGGGGCUAUGAACUGGUGCAACAGAUCUCGACAUCACUGCUGGGCAUUUCCUGGCGCAAGGGGUUAAACUUGUAUCGUGAACCUUUAAAUCUUCUCUUAUGUCUAGGAGCGUCCGAUGCAGGCUAUCGUUCUCUUGAUGAAUACCCUUACUCCUUUGGAUAUAUCCUAGGUGGUUCUGACAUUGCUCAAAACACGCAGUUAGUUGUCCGUCAAACAUGAGGCGCAGUCACGAUUAACUCACCAGUUAGUUAUUCCUGCAUAAACAAAUAGAGUUAUCUGAAACAGAAAGCGCAAGUUUGGCUCAGUUUCGCCACAUAUAGAUUUCACACCAGCCAGAGAUCGCAUGCUUGGAAAUAAAAUCAGCUAAAUGUUUGGGCUGCGGUGUCAAGUGAAGCCAAGUCCUCACCAGCCCUGCGCGCGGAAGUUGUUCUCCUGAUGGAUGCGCCAGAGGAGGACUGGGAGUGCCAGGAAUAUACGGUUGCACUGAGUGUUCUGGCGGGAU